RNAcentral lists this long non-coding RNA (787 nucleotides) under Equus asinus (donkey). RNAcentral's name for it is "lncRNA (ENSEASG00005038030.1)". Lineage: Eukaryota; Metazoa; Chordata; Mammalia; Perissodactyla; Equidae. The record is from RNAcentral.
CUAAUUCCAAGUCCUCAGGACUUAAUUCUAUGUUUUUAUUCUUUUCCUUCUGGUCUGGGGCUUUUAUAAAUUGCUGGAUGGUAGAGGAGUGGUUUUUUCACAUGGUGGUAGAAUUCGGUUGCAGUUACAGCCUGUGGCCACUAGAUGGGUGUCUAGAGCCACGUGUUAUGAGCUCUCCGCCUUUGGGCAAGAUGGCUGCGCCCAGUGGCUUUGCCUGGGAGGGAGGGGCUGCUAUUCUCACGUGCCGAUCUGGAUUCAGAUCAGUUCUGUUCUCUGGUCUCCCGUGGCCCUGGGUUUAUGGGGUCCCCGCUGACAAAAGCUUUCCCCCCAUCAGCAAGUUUCCAGUGAACCAGCAGCAGGAGUCCUGGAUGAUCCCUGGUCACGCAGCCCCUCCCCGGCUCCUUCCCAACCCGCGCAGCAGCGAUCGCAGACUCUAGGGGAGGGAGUGAUGUUCUCUCCUACUGUUCCAGCGCCUCCAGGGCCGACUCAGUGGCCAUUGAGGAUUUGCUUGUGAACUUCACCCUGGAGGAGUGGGCUUUCCUCGAUUCUCCACAGAAGAAACUUCAUGGAGAAGUCACAUGGUAGUGAGACUCUGUGAAAGUAAAGAGGAAGUUCAAUGUGCAGAAAACUUCAGCUUUAUUCCAAGUCUCAGUUUGAACAGCAAAACUACUGGAGUGAAGCCACAUGAAUGAAGCAGUGCAUGUGCAAAAGUCUUUACACAUCAUUCAUCCCUUUAUAGGCACAUCAGGUGUCACACUGGACACAAGCCAUGUGAGUUUCAAAAAUA